RNAcentral lists this small nuclear RNA (160 nucleotides) under Microcebus murinus (gray mouse lemur). RNAcentral's name for it is "U1 spliceosomal RNA (ENSMICG00000024974.3)". The record is from RNAcentral. Lineage: Eukaryota; Metazoa; Chordata; Mammalia; Primates; Cheirogaleidae.
GUACACCUGGCAGGGGAGACACCCUUAUCAAGAAUUUCAGUCUUUCACGGUGAAGCUUCUCCGUCGCAUUGCAUACUUGCAUAUCCCGCGAUUUCCUCCAUGCGGGAAACUGUACUGCCGUAUUUGUGCUAGCAGAGGGCUGAACUCGUGCUCUCCCCUA